This 73-nucleotide microRNA precursor is filed under the name Tursiops truncatus (common bottlenose dolphin). RNAcentral's name for it is "miRNA (ENSTTRG00000024767.1)". Lineage: Eukaryota; Metazoa; Chordata; Mammalia; Artiodactyla; Delphinidae. The record is from RNAcentral.
UCUUCAGCUCCUGGGGCAGGUGGAGUACAAUGGCAGGGAUUUAACAAGUACUCGCCCUGCCUCAGUAGUAGAG